This is a non-coding RNA of Herpailurus yagouaroundi (jaguarundi), 73 nucleotides long. Lineage: Eukaryota; Metazoa; Chordata; Mammalia; Carnivora; Felidae. The record is from the annotation of a RefSeq genome assembly.
GUUUCUGUGGUGUAGCGGUUAUCACAGUCGCCUCACACGCGAAAGGUCCCUGGUUCGAAACCAGGCAGAAACA